This is a long non-coding RNA of Caretta caretta (loggerhead turtle), 2534 nucleotides long. RefSeq lists it as uncharacterized. Lineage: Eukaryota; Metazoa; Chordata; Testudines; Cheloniidae. The record is from RefSeq and is a predicted model, not a curated record.
GCGCAUGGGCAGCAGGUGCACGAGUUGCCAAUCCCCGGCUCGGCCGAGCCAGUGCCGGGCCGUAGCAGGCAGCAGCCCGGGCCGGGGGUCGAGGUGGCCGGGCAGGAGAAGCCAGGGGUGUGGGGCUCUCACUCCUCCCCCGACCCUGAGCCAGGAGCCCCCCGGGGGCUGGCGGUCAGCUCACGGCUGCUGGGUCAGGCCCCGGCCCGCCUGGAAGUGCCUCAGCCCCAGCUGCUGUGACUCCGGCCCUGCCCGCUGUCGCGCCGCCCCGUCAGUCGGAGGGCGAAGCGCGGCUCUGUCUGGGGUUACGGGAAGCGUAACCGGCGGGGAGGGUUUAAGAGCCUGACCCUUGCGGUAUCACACAGUGCGGCUAACAAAAGUAGGUCGGGGGAGAUAUUUAUCCUGCAGAUGGAGAUCGUUUUGCCCUAGGAGCAAGAUUACCUUGUAUUCAUCAUCGAUCAGAAGUAACACUUUGGCAUAAUCUUGAUCCAUGAUGGGCAGAAGCAAAGACUGAAGAACUGGACGCUUCAGAACAGGGGGAGCCACCUGACUCCACUUCCCAAAGAUGGGGUUAAAGACAUAGAGAGAGCUCAUUUUGGUCUCCUGAAACAGACAACAGGAUGGGAAACUAGUUAGGGCAAACACAGAGAAGGGUGGUUGUUCUUCUAGCUUAUGAAGUUGCCUGCUGGCUUGGUUUAUAUUUGGAUGUAACUCUCUACGCCCCCUUUCUCCCUUCACUGAGCUCCUUACCCUACAGAUGAACAUACUGUGCGCUCAAAUCACCUCGUCUCUGCUGAUCCCACAGCGUUCACGUAUGAUACAUACAAUUCGAACGAGACCCUACUGUGGCCUGCCCAGAAUGUCACCGAAAUAAGCAAGAGUGUUUCUAUUUUCUGUGGAGUAUAUACUGUCGUGUGACCAGCAGAGGGAAAACCUUAUUUAACUAGCAUACACGGUUUGCUGACUUUCUGCUUCAUGUAGUGGACAAAGCAAUUGAAUGAAAUUAUUUAUUUUUUUUGUCGUCGUUUAAAGCAUUUACAAAACACAAAUCUGAUAUUUUUAACACUGUGGAUUUUUCACUAUGGGGAGGUAAAACCCACCCGAGGAGGGGGGAGUGGGCGUGUGUGUGCGCGCGUAUAAAGGACUCACCUUGUCCUUAACAAGCAGCGUACAUUGUGGGGGGUGGGGGAAGUGGGCCGUUGUUCUCUGGACCAUCAGUUUAAAGGAGGAGCCUGGCCUCAUAUUCUGUAGGUAUUGCUUCCACAGGAUGGUGCCGGAGCUGCUUUCAAUACCAAACAGCUGAAGCAAAGAGACAAAAAAAAAAAAACCAACGUAUGUAACAGCGUGUCUUUCACAUCUAGAUGUUCCAUUCUGCUUUGGGUUCCCUCCUCUACUACAAGACAGCUGGUCUCCUGACACCUUUCCCACCACAAAUCCCCCCUCACCAUUGCCAGGAUAGUAUGCUCCAUUGCCAGGAAUGGCUUCCAGUCCCUGCCCUCCUCACCUUUCCUGCAGCAGUGACCAUCACCAUCAUUUUCUGCAGGUUGAACUCAUCUCUCGCCAAGUUGUCAAUAUUGAUCUCAUUCUUAAUCUGGCUCCGCGGCUUCCUGGCAUCAUAGAACAUCUUCCAGAGAUGUGCAGUCCAGGCCUGUAGCAGGAUGAGCUGGGAGGAGAGGCGCUUCAGAAACAUUCCCAGCAAGCCGUCUGCAAGCAAGUCAGUGACAACAGUUAGCACAACAAGCAAUGGUCCACAGCAGGGGAAACAUAUACACAGCCCAGCAAAUAAGACUAGUGCCUCAGUCUAUAAAACUCAUGUGCUGCCAUACUCGUAUAUAUUAAUUAAGAAAAUUCUGCCUCACCUUCCACGACACCUGGAUCAUAUUAUAUCCCAUUACCAUCAUAGAAGCUCCUUUGCCUACCAAGCCCCUAAAUACACACUGCCAUAUCCCACUUCAGCAGGCACUCCACUCGCCUCAGAUCAAGCUUUCCUGCAAGCCGCAACACUACCAUGUGCAGAGUCUCUUCCCUAUCACUCCCGCAAGUACACUUAGUGUACUUGAUCUUACGGCUCCUGCUUUCACUUCUCGCAUAACAGGAGCCAUCUUUAUGGAGAAGCACCCAAAUCUUGGCAACUGAAGUCUGAAUUGGCUUCCAGUUAGGAGCCAUGUCCUAUGCUUAAUCUAUCUCUUCUCUGAGAAAGAAACCAAACAGGGAGGACAAAGAUCCACCAGCAAAGAGAGGAAAGGAACUGCAUGUGAUUCUUUGGGUUACCUUGAAUGGCUGGAUCCGGAUGGCAAGAAAGACAAUAAAGGCAAUUAUAUUUCAGUCUUCAGGGUAAGACAAUACAGGAUAAUCAAACAGAAGCGUUUUGGUAAGAGCGGGCAAGCUGGUUAUUGUAAUUUCCCUAUCACUCUCUCUCUGCUCGACCCAGAGGGAUAUGGAAAAUCUAUUAGUAGAGCUUUUAUGUGUGAUCUCGUUUUAGUUCAAGUUCAACUCUCUCUGGCUCCAAGAUUAAAGAUUAAGUUUAUGGAGGA